Molecule: non-coding RNA, 58 nt
Organism: Mus musculus (house mouse)
Lineage: Eukaryota; Metazoa; Chordata; Mammalia; Rodentia; Muridae
Source: Rfam
UGGCUCAGCGGGUAAGAGCACUGACUGCUCUUGCAGAGGUCCUGGGUUCAAAUCCCAG